ACAAGGCCGCAAGGUUAUGUGGGACUUGUUUAACCGCCACGCAUUAUUUUCAAAUUUUGAGCGCGUCUUUGUAUGUAGUUUGUCAUCCGUUGAUUCAACGUUUUAUAACUGAUACUGGUAGAAUUUAGUGCGUUUUUCUUUCGUAUUUUAACAUAAAAUACGCAUUCUUUGAAUUUGUCAAAGAGGAAUCAUAGGAGGGUGGUGAAACGCGCUGUAGUAUGCGAGAAGAAUCAGAAGAUAUGGAUAAUUUUGUGAAUGCCUGAAAGGUGACUAGGAUCGUGAGAAAGAAAGGCCAUGGCAAUGAGAAAUUUCUAAAGUUAAGAAAAUAAUCAAAAGUUCAUUGACCCAUCUAUACAACAACAUGUGUAGCUAAAGUAUUGGAAUUCAGUGAUUUCCUUUUGUCCAAGCAUCACACUAACCAAAGGUCAAAAUGGAGCUCUAUUAAAGCAAUAUUAAAUGUGAAAGGUUUUGUUUAUGCAGUGCCGUGGAUGCAAGAACAACUUUGCUCUCAUUUCAUCACUGGAAAGGCUUCAAAUGCCUAGCUUAAUUCAAAGAAAAGGAUGCAAAACCAGAGCCAGAGAAAGUUAAGAGUAUAUAUGCUGUGUCUAAAGUAUGGUGCAAAAAGGUUUGAGGGAAAAGAGGCUGACAUAUGACAAGUUAC
Molecule: long non-coding RNA, 661 nt
Organism: Dendronephthya gigantea
Lineage: Eukaryota; Metazoa; Cnidaria; Anthozoa; Malacalcyonacea; Nephtheidae
Exons: 3
Source: RefSeq, a predicted model, not a curated record